AGAACGAACGCUGGCGGCAGGCCUAAUACAUGCAAGUCGAACGCACUCUUCGGAGUGAGUGGCAGACGGGUGAGUAACGCGUGGGAACCUUCCCAAUGGUACGGAAUAACUCCGGGAAACCGGUGCUAAUACCGUAUAAGCCCCUCGGGGGAAAGAUUUAUCGCCAUUGGAUGGGCCCGCGUCGGAUUAGCUAGUUGGUAAGGUAAUGGCUUACCAAGGCUACGAUCCGUAGCUGGUCUGAGAGGAUGAUCAGCCACACUGGGACUGAGACACGGCCCAGACUCCUACGGGAGGCAGCAGUAGGGAAUCUUGGACAAUGGGCGAAAGCCUGAUCCAGCCAUGCCGCGUGAGUGAAGAAGGCCUUAGGGUUGUAAAGCUCUUUUGGCGGGACGAUAAUGACGGUACCCGCAGAAUAAGCCCGGCUAACUUCGUGCCAGCAGCCGC
Molecule: ribosomal RNA, 444 nt
Filed under: uncultured bacterium
Lineage: Bacteria
Also listed under: 1 other name
Description: SSU rRNA
Rfam family: Bacterial small subunit ribosomal RNA
Source: RNAcentral